RNAcentral lists this long non-coding RNA (3581 nucleotides) under Gossypium barbadense (sea-island cotton). RNAcentral's name for it is "long non-coding RNA (GBAR_LNC001963)". Lineage: Eukaryota; Viridiplantae; Streptophyta; Magnoliopsida; Malvales; Malvaceae. The record is from RNAcentral.
AGAAACUAGGUUCGGCCAUCUCCCAAGUUCAAAUUCAAGGUUCGUUUUUAGUCGGUUUUUGAUAAUUUUUAUAUUUUUGAGAUCGUUACUUCGAGUACUAUAAAACCCAUGUUUAAAUUUUUAAUUUUGAUGAAUAUUUUGAGUUAUGCCAUUGAUGAGAGCUUGUGAUUUUUAUUGUUUGAUGGUGAAAUAUGAAAGAUAAGUGUUGGGUUAAUAUAUUUUAUAUUGGAAUUUUUGAUGAUUUUGAGUAAUUAGGACUUAAUUGAAAAAAUAAAAAUUUGAGGGACUAAAUUAUGAAAUUGAUGGAAAAUAUGGACUUGUAUGUAUAUAGGGAGCAUUGGGCCUAAUUAGAAUGUAGCCAAAUUUUGUGUAUUUUGUGUUUUGUGCAAUAAGGACUAAAUUGUAAAAAUUUUAAAUGUUAGGGGUAAAAUGAUAAUUUACCUAUUUAUGUGUUUUUAGACUAGAUUGAAUGAAAAUAUGUUUGAAUGAUCUUAAUUUGAAUAUUUUUAGAUCAAGAACUAAAGAAAUCGGAUUUGGAUCGGGGAAAAACGAAAGUUGUCGACUAACUUCCCGAUUCCAUUUUGUAUCGUCCGAGGUAAGUUUAUAAGCAGAUAGACGUGUUUAUUUGGUAAUUAAAUAUUAUAUUUAUAUGCUGUUAUGAAGUGUGGAAUUUUAAUAUGCUAUGGCCGAAAAUGAUUAAAUUUUACUACUACACUUUCGAGUGCAAUUUGACCGAAUUACGACGUCCGGAAGCCCCGUAUGAACCUUAGGAAUAGCUAGGAUACAUAUUUCAUGACAUAGGAUUCCGGUAUAUGUGUGCGAGUAAGACCAUGGCAUCGAUAUGUGAUUUCGAUAUGUGUUUACGAGUAAGACCCUGUGUAGGACAAUGGCAUCGAUAUGUGGUUACAUGGAAGACCACGUCUGGGACGUUAGCAUUGUACGAUUUAUGUUAUUAUCCGAGUGUCCUAUCCAAUUCUGAAUGGUUCAUCGAGCAGUGAUAAGCUAUAUUUGAAUAUGUAAAAUGAGCCAUGUGACAGGUAUGAAUUAAAUUGUUACCAAGUCAAGGUAAUGACAGUAAAUAAUUAAUAUUCGAUAUAAUGACUUAUUGAAUGAGUAUGGAUGGUGAAAUUAUAUUAUAGUAAUCAAAAUUGGUAAGGAUAUACAUAAAUGAACUGUAAUUGUCUUCGAAUGAUAUGUGUUGUGGUUAUUAAUGGUACUAAUUACAUUCAGUCAUUUGGUUAAUGUAUAUAUAAUGAUAUAUAUUAUUAUACUUGAGUAGAAGUUAUGAAUAUAAGUGAAAUUGAUUGCUUAAUGAUAUUUUGGCUUUGUAAAUGAAGUAUUUAUUACUUGGGUUGAUUUCAUAAGCAUUCGGUCAAGGUGUGGAUUUUGUAUAAGAAUGAAAUAUCAUGAAUGAAUGUGGUGGGUUAAGAAUAAAUAUAUUCAUAUCGGAGUGGUUCGGUUAAAUUUAUUAUUGAGAUAGUUAUAUUAUUAGUUUGUUUAUUUGCUUAUAGCUUACUAAGCUAUAUUAGCUUAUCGUGUGAAUGUUUAUUUUUGUUUUAUAGAUUCUUUUUGGAAAGUCAAGUUACAAGCUCGGGGAUCAUCUGCGAAGCUCAUCACACUAUUUACUAUUUUAGGUACCUUUAUAGGUUAAAGUGUGUUUUGAGAUGGUAAAUUUUGGUUGUGUAUAAAGCCAUGCGAAAUUGGCUAAUUAAUAUGUUUGAAUUUAAAUAUGCUGGGCAUGGUCUAUGUUAAUUAUGGUUAUAAGUUGCAUGCUGUGUAUGCUCAUUAUAUAAGGUAAAUGUUGGAUGUUUGGACAAGGUGCAGUGGUUUUAAAAGGUUUGUGAUUGUUUUGACUAUGAUAAUUCAUAGGUGAAACAUGCUCAUGAACUUAGUAAAAAAAAUGUUUUUUUCAUUAUUUAAUAAGGUAAUACUUAUGGCUUGGCAUUUUUAUUUUUGAUUUUGAAAAGGGUUAAAGCUCAUAAUAAUAUAUUAUUUAUUUCGUAAAAUGUAAAUGUACGAAUGGUGUGUGGAUAAUUGUUUUCAUGAUUGGAUAGUUGAUCAACUUGAAUGAGGUAUUUUAUACAAUUGUAUUUCGGCAUGUAUGUUCAUGAAAAUUUCAGAAAUAGACUAUAUAUAUGAUUUAUUUAGUAGGAAUUCUAAUAUAUGAGAUGGGCAUAUAAUAUGUUGGAUUUAAUUAAAGUCAUGCAUGUGUACUUGCAUUUAAAUUUGAUUGCAGUAAUGAUGAUGUGAUACGCAUGAAUUUAGUAAUGCAUAUUACUAUAUCAAUCAAAUAGAAAUAUGUACGUUUAAAUUUUCAUGAGUGUGAUUACUUAUGUAAAUUUACUGGUCAUAUAUAUAUAAGUUCGCAAAUUUGUAUAAAUCAUUUAUAUUAGUCGAAUGGACUAGAAAAUGAAAUGAGUUUAUUUAUAACCAAAAGUUAAUAUUAUUUGGUAAUGAUGUGUGAUAUAUAUUAAAGAUUCGUAUAAAUUGUUAUUUUACUAGUGUCGCAUAUAUGAAAUUGUUCUUGUGAUAUGUAUAUAUAUAUAUAAGUUCGCAAAUUUGUAUAAAUCAUUUAUAUUAGUCGAAUGGACUAGAAAAUGAAAUGAGUUUAUUUAUAACCGAAAGUUAAUAUUAUUUGGAAAUGAUGUGUGAUAUAUAUAUUAAAGAUUCGUAUAAAUUGUUAUUUUACUAGUGUCGCAUAUAUGAAAUUGUUCUUGUGAUAUGUAUGCUAUUAAUGCAUGUGAACGAUAUACUCAAAUAUUACGAUGAUAUGAAAUGUUCAAAUUAAGAGUUGUAAUAGCUUUUGAUUUAAAUCUUAGUCAAUUUUUGAGAAAUAUUCAUGCGAUUAUAUAAAAUGUUUUAUUUAAUUGUUCAGAAUUGCAUUUUAUUCUGUAACGCCUUAUGAUCCUAUUCCGGCGACAGAUACUGAUUAAAGGUGUUACAAAGACCCUGUCUGGGACGGUGGCAUCGAUAUGUGAUAACAUGUAAGACCAUAUCUGGGAUAUGGCAUUGUACGAGCUAUACGUGAUUACCGAGUAUCCUUAACGAUUCCGAACGGUUCAACAGGCAAAGUCAAGUCAAGAAAGAAUGUAUGAAUGAGUUAAAUGACUUAAGUAUGUACGAGAUUAUAUAAGUAUUGAAAGGUAAAGUAAAUGAUGUAUGUGAUUAAAGUGUUGAAUAUAUGUUCAAUGAGAAAGGUUUGCGAUCUUGUAUGUGAUUAGCUAUGCUUAGCAUAUUUGAAUUUGAUGUGCAAAUGUUUAUAUGAUAAUUUUAUUUGUAUAUGGCUUACUAAGCUUUAAAAGCUUACUUGUGUGUUCUUUCCAUGUUUUAUAGAUUAUCGAAGCUAGCUCGGACUAGGGGAUCGUCGAGAAAUGUUAUCACACUAUCGAUCAUCUCGUUGGUACUUUUGAAGCAUUGUAUAUUGUAAUUUUGUUAUGUUUUGAGAUAUAGUAUAGCCAUAAGACUUGGCUUGUUUUUGUUGUAAAUGUUGGCAUGAAUUUGGCUAUUUAAAUUGGCUUAAGUAUGUGUUUGAUAAGUGAUAUAUGUGAUAUAUAUAUAAUGCCUUAUAUGUUGGCUUGAUU